UACAGAGGGUGCAAACGUUGUUCGGAUUUACUGGGCGUAAAGCGCAUGUAGGCUGCUUCGCAAGUCGGAUGUGAAAGCCCUGGGCUCAACCCAGGAAGUGCAUUCGAAACUGCAGAGCUGGAGUCCUGGAGAGGAAGGCGGAAUUCUCGGUGUAGAGGUGAAAUUCGUAGAUAUCGAGAGGAACACCUGCGGCGAAGGCGGGUUGCUGGGCUGAUACUGACGCUGAUGCGCGAAAGCCAGGGGAGCGAACGGG
Molecule: ribosomal RNA, 253 nt
Filed under: uncultured prokaryote
Description: partial 16S ribosomal RNA
Rfam family: Bacterial small subunit ribosomal RNA
Source: RNAcentral